AAAGAAAAGUCUUUCUUCACUUAAGACUUUGUGAACAUUUUAUUUGCAGUAAACAUUGGUAUAUGAGAUUUAUAGGAGGUUGGUGAUAUCUGGAAAUUAUGAACACUGUGUGCCACUGGAUCCUGCACAGAGGUUACAGAGGUCUUGUGUUUAACAGGAAUCUGCUGUAAAGGAGGAUGAAAGAGGGUCACAUCAGGAAAGCCACCUAAAAUUAUGAAGCUAGUAAAACCUAAAAUAACAAUAAGCUGCUAAGGAUCUGGAUCAGGAUCUGGAUUCACAUCAGCUGAUGUAAAUCCUUACAGCUCCACAGUCUUCAACAGAUAUGAACCAACAGACAAGGACAUCCUGUUUAUGUUUUCUUAAUGGAAUGAACAACUUCCAGGAGGAAAUUCUGCUCUGAAUGCCAUGUUUAUUUCCACCCUGUUGAAAUGUUCAUGAAUGAUACUGAAAAAGAAUUACUUAGUCUUAAAAUGUACUUCUGUUGGUAAUUGUCUGGCGUAGAAAAGGUAUCUAUAAUUGUGCCUUCCAGGCACUGUAUUUCCAGGAGUAUAUUAAUAUUUAUAUUAAUUAGUAGAGGAAGAAUUUAUUGAAAAUAUAUAUUUUAGUGUCUUGAUUUGUAAUAAAUGUAGGUAAAUAGUCUGCCAAAUUUUAAACAUAAGUAGUGAGCUACAUUCCUAUUCUAUGAAACUCACAUAGGCCCUCAGCUGCUCCAACAAAAUCAUAUCAAUUUUCUGUUUUGAUUACUUAUUUGUUCCAAAAUGACCAUCAAUAAGCAUUGUUUUCCUUUCCAUCUACUCAAACAGAAAGAAGUAAAAACAUCGCUGUCAAAUAUCUGUCAGAACAGAUUUAUUGUACUAUUUAAACCUGUUGAAGUAGAUUUUUUUUCUCCUUCUCUCCUAUAAUCUGGCCGAGGAGUUAAACUCUGAAGUAUAAUUAUUUUUUUUUCCUUUUUCUUCUUGACAACAUACAUGCAGCAGUACAGGUGGGAGUAAAAUCUCUGGGGCACUGUCUGAAUGAGUAUGAAGCUUCUUACUGCUGGUAGAAAUGGCUUUAAAAUUUACCUGGCUUCAGGUAUUUUCAUCAGUUGAUAGAAUAAAAACAAAGCUAAAUCCCCUUUUAUCUCAUGAUUCAGUUCUGUAAUAAAAUCGAUGCUUCACACAGGAUUUUCUAAAAUCACAACACAUCCCUUGAGUUGAAUUUGCAAUCUAGCAAAAGUAGGAUAGAUUUUAUGAGGUUUUCCUGACCUUCCAGCCCCUCCUCUUGUCAAGGAGUGUAGCAUCGGGUGUAGGUGGUCAGGCGACUCUACCUUCCCAAAAGCGCCUCCAGAGGUGACAGCAUCUGGGCAGGCUGCAAUCUCACACACACACCCACACCCACCCACACACACACCCACACACACACACACACCCACACACACACACCCCAUGGAUAGCAAUCACCGAUGCAGAGGCAGGAAGGGUCUCUGCGUAGCAUUCCAGUGGGGUUUAUUCCAACCACAGACCAAACGGGUCCAGGAACAAAGACAGGGAGCAAUGGAAGGUCCAGGAACGUAUGUACGCGCAAGGGGGAGGAUCUGACGGGCAGGGUCCAAUAGGAACAGGGGAAAGUGGAGCAGAGGUGGGGUCAGGAAGAAGGAAAGCCAAUGGGAUUACAGUGGUGGAGGACUGCACCAAACUGGGGCCAACUGGGGAACAGGGAAGGGAAAACUUUCUAGGGAAGGGAUAUACAAGGUAAAGAGGGGAGGGACAGCCAAUAGGCUAACUGGGUAUAUAAACUGGGGUACAACAAAAUGGAGAUGCAAAGCACUAUGGAAAAACCCUUCUUAUUAACUUUAAAAUGGGGGGAAACCUUACAUCCUGGAGGCCUUCUUCCACACCAUGAUAGCUUUUGGCUCCGGAGCCUCCAUAAAGGAGGCCUGGUCCAGAAACAAAUCUCUGCCAAGGUAGCACUGGAAAAUCUAAAUAAAAUUCCUACACUAGUGUAUGUGAUAGAGUAUGUUUGUUCGUAAACUUUUUAAGUAAGACGUACUUGUUUAUUAGUUAGGAUGUGGUUAUUGUGGUUAACUAUUUUUGUAAGGACUAACACAGUUAUUGAGCAAGUACAUUUACAGGAACUAAGAAAAGCAGAUGAGAAGAAAUCCCCUGGCAACAGUCCUGAAGCAUGCGCAGAGAACCCCGGAAAUGUUACAGCGAUAGGCUUGUGAACACCUUAAAAAGACCGGUCGGAACCUCAGACGGCGCGGCAGUUGGCAGAACGGAAAUCCCCCUGUCGCCCAGCGCUGCAUUGCCUCUUUGUUUUGCUUGCUGUAAUUAUUAAAGUUUUUUUAUUGGCUUCC
Parus major (Great Tit) is the source of this 2335-nucleotide long non-coding RNA. RefSeq lists it as uncharacterized. The transcript has 3 exons. The record is from RefSeq and is a predicted model, not a curated record. Lineage: Eukaryota; Metazoa; Chordata; Aves; Passeriformes; Paridae.